Molecule: long non-coding RNA, 593 nt
Organism: Drosophila miranda
Lineage: Eukaryota; Metazoa; Arthropoda; Insecta; Diptera; Drosophilidae
Exons: 2
Source: RefSeq, a predicted model, not a curated record
UUUGGCAGGCGGGAUUUUGUAAGAGGCUUGUAGCUGAGGGCGUAAACUAAAUUGACCGCCAACGGCGUUGUAUGGGCAGCCAUAGUCUCGCUGCUACUGGGGGUUUUGGAGUCAGGGGCUCUUAAACGGUGCUCUGAAAGGUUGGCUCCCUCUGGGGGUGAGUUAACGCUGAUGGCAGGUGAAGAGAAAGAGGAGAAAGCGAUGACAUUCGAACGUCAUCCAGCGGAUCCGACCGGUCUCAUAGUGGAUGGGAGCGUGUCCAUCUUCCGUUUGGAAUUUGGAUGUCGAGCGACCAACAUCGCCCCGAACAGGCUCAGCAAAAAUCAUUAAUGAAAAAGUUCCAAAGUCAAGAAAAGAAUAUUGUCAAAGCGCGAGUGGUAUCCAGCAGCAGCAAAGCAAAAGUCGCGGGACUACGAUAACUGAAGCUAGGUCGGCCACUGGGGCCAAGAUUGACGGAUUUGGCGCCUAGCAAUUUGGGCUGGCGAAGCAGCGGCGCUCCAAGCAGCUGAUCCGUCGCAGCACAGAGCGAGGGAGCAGAGACGCAGAAAAAAUUCAGAGAGGCUCGACCUUCGCGGGCAGCCGGAUCGACGUCG